Molecule: ribosomal RNA, 140 nt
Filed under: uncultured bacterium
Lineage: Bacteria
Description: partial 16S ribosomal RNA
Source: RNAcentral
CACGUAGUUAGCCGGCGCUUCUUCUGCAGGUACCGUCACUUACGCUUCUUCCCUACUGAAAGAGGUUUACAACCCGAAGGCCGUCAUCCCUCACGCGGCGUCGCUGCAUCAGGCUUGCGCCCAUUGUGCAAUAUUCCCCA